AUUGAACGCUGGCGGCAGGCCUAACACAUGCAAGUCGAGCGGAUGAAGGGAGCUUGCUCCUGGAUUCAGCGUCGGACGGUUGAGUAAUGCCUAGGAAUCUGCCUGGUAGUGGGGGAUAACGUCCGGAAACGGGCGCUAAUACCGCAUACGUCCUGCGGGAGAAAGUUGGGGUUCUUCGGACCUCACGCUAUCAGAUGAGCCUAGGUCGGAUUAGCUAGUUGGUUGGGUAAAGUCCUACCAAGGCGACGAUCCGUAACUGGUCUGAGAGGAUGAUCAGUCACACUGGAACUGAGACACGGUCAAGACUACUACGGGAGGCAGCAGUGGGGAAUAUUGGACAAUGGGCGAAAGCAUGAUACAGAAAAGCCGCGUGUGUGAAGAAGGUCUUAGGAUUGUAAAGCACUUUAAGUUGGGAGGAAGGGAAGUAAGUUAAUAACUUGCUGUUUUGACGUUACCAACAGAAUAAGCACCGGCUAACUUCGUG
Molecule: ribosomal RNA, 484 nt
Filed under: uncultured bacterium
Lineage: Bacteria
Description: partial 16S ribosomal RNA
Rfam family: Bacterial small subunit ribosomal RNA
Source: RNAcentral